CACCUCUAGCAUAACUAGUAUUAGAGGCACUGCCUGCCCAGUGACAAUCGUUAAACGGCCGCGGUAUCUUGACCGUGCAAAGGUAGCAUAAUCACUUGUUCUCUAAAUAAGGACUUGUAUGAACGGCCACACGAGGGUUUUACUGUCUCUUACUCUUAAUCAGUGAAAUUGACCUCCCCGUGAAGAGGCGGGGAUAACAUAAUAAGACGAGAAGACCCUAUGGAGCUUUAAUUAAUCAACUCAAAAAGCAUAAAAUAAUACCACCAAGGGAUAACAAAACUUUACAUGAGCUGACAAUUUCGGUUGGGGUGACCUCGGAGUACAAAAAACCCUCCGAGUGAUUAAAACUUAGGCCCACCAGCCAAAGUAUAAUAUCACUUAUUGAUCCAAAAUUUUGAUCAACGGAACAAGUUACCCUAGGGAUAACAGCGCAAUCCUAUUCUAGAGUCCAUAUCGACAAUAGGGUUUACGACCUCGAUGUUGGAUCAGGACAUCCUAAUGGUGCAGCAGCUAUUAAGGGUUCGUUUGUUCAACGAUUAAAGUCCU
RNAcentral lists this ribosomal RNA (546 nucleotides) under Leucopleurus acutus (Atlantic white-sided dolphin). RNAcentral describes it as "partial 16S ribosomal RNA". It matches the Rfam family "Bacterial large subunit ribosomal RNA", at positions 1816 to 2597 of the family's 2925-position model. The record is from RNAcentral. Lineage: Eukaryota; Metazoa; Chordata; Mammalia; Artiodactyla; Delphinidae.